AUGGGAGAUUUCAAUGAUAUCCUAGAUUCCCUGGAGAAGAAUAAUAGUACUAUUCCGAACCACCAUCGUAUGGCUAAUUUCUCUAAUCAUGUUAAACGAUGUGGUUUAAUUGAUAUGGGUUAUAAUGGUCCUGCGUUUACAUGGUGUAUAAGCUUUUUUCUUUUGUUCCUGUUUUAUAAGCGCCUUGAUAGAUGCUUUGCUAAUGCUGAGUGGUGCAAUGAAUUUACUCACACUGCAGUUUAUAAUCUGCCUAUUCUAUAUAGUGAUCCUGCUCCUAUUUUAACCAUUUCUAAACCCAAUACUGGUAAGAUUAAGAGUCCGUUUAAAUUUGAGAAUUUGUGGCUUCUAGAAGAGGACUAUCAAGACAUAGCAAAAUGUAGGAGAUAUGCCCUAGAGGCAAUAAUAAAUGAUAUUAUUUAUCUCCGAGUUCAUAAUUAUGUUUAUGUUCCAUGCUAUAACUGCUAUGGUUCUCGUGUAGGGUAA
This 483-nucleotide ribosomal RNA is filed under the name Triticum aestivum (bread wheat). RNAcentral's name for it is "partial small subunit ribosomal RNA". Lineage: Eukaryota; Viridiplantae; Streptophyta; Magnoliopsida; Poales; Poaceae. The record is from RNAcentral.